RNAcentral lists this long non-coding RNA (3588 nucleotides) under Sus scrofa (pig). Its description in RNAcentral is "lncRNA (ENSSSCG00065077260.1)". Lineage: Eukaryota; Metazoa; Chordata; Mammalia; Artiodactyla; Suidae. The record is from RNAcentral.
GGGAGACCAUGUAAGGACACAGGGAGGAGGCGGCCAUCUACAGACCAAGGAGGGCGGCCUUGAAGGAACCAGCCCUGCUGACACCCUGAUCUUAAACUUCUAGCCUCCAGAAUUCCCAGCUCACAGACAGACCUCCACAACGGCUCACUGCCACCAGAGCUUUUCUUUCAACUGAUGAAAAACUGAAAGAAAAAGCUAAGUCUCCUCCCCAUGUGAUAUAGAAGAGAUGUUGGCACAUUCGCAUUUUCAUAAGGAAAAACAAGUUGAACUGCGGCAACUCUGGAAGUCAGUCUCAUCAACUGCACCCUCCUUUCGCACACGGCAGACUCCUGCGCGCACCCACACUCCUUACGUGGGAACCUCGUCAUGUAUGGAACGUGUAAUAUCUGUCAGCGCUGCCCUUUAAUGAGCGAUUCCUAUGAGCCAGGCAGGGGGUCAGAGGGCAACAUGCCCCCUGCCUCCCGUGAGGAAACUGAGGCUUGAGAAGUUUAAGCACAUGUUUUUAAAAACAUGAAGCUCACAAAAAAUAGAGAUGGCAUUUUAUUUAUUUAUUUAUUUUUGCUUUUUAGGGCUGCACCUGCAGCAUAUAGAAGUGCCCAGGCUAGGGGUCAAAUCUGAGCUGCAGCUGCCAGCCUACACCUCGGCUACAGCAAUGUGGCAUCCUUAGCCCACUGAGUGAGGCCAGGGAUCAAAUCUGCAUCCUUAUGGGUACUAGUCAGCUUCAUAACUAGCUGAGCCACAACGGGAACUCCUUCCCCCUUCACCCCAUCCCAAAGUCACUUCUUAACCCACUGGGCCAGGAAAUCUCCCAGCGAGGCUUAAAUGUUUAUCUCUGCCAAUGACUCUCAUUUUCCCAAGAGCAGGGAGGGUUGGGAAAACAGCCACUUUACAGGUAAAGACCUGGGAUGUGCAGUGUGAUCACCAGGCACGCUGCUGCCAUGUGAAUGGGCACGUGGCCUCUCUGAGUGUCUGGGAAAGCCACAUGCCAGGCCUGGGAAAGGCCACAGUGGGAAGAAGGCACAUCCAGGGCGGGUGGCUUUUGCAGCAGAAACCACCUGCUUAGAUGCCUCCCUGCCACUCAGAGGCUCUCUGCAACAGUGGGGAAAUGUUGCCAGUCAGGCGCAUGCUUUCCAGUGGCAGCUGCCCGUUAACAAACUAUAGUGACCUUGGCAACACGUCCUGAACACAGGCCACCGGCGUCAUACAGCAGUCCUCUGUGACGCAAGGGCACAGCCAGCCCUGACGACUGUUCAGGGACUGGGCAGGAGAAUUCCAGGGCCCCUGCUUUUUCCUACUUUGAGAUACUUAGAAGACGUAGAUAAAGCAACUGGAAAACAGAAAUGUGUAAACUGGAGAGAGAAAGGGAGAGGAGAAGGGAUUGACUUUGGAAAUCAUCAGCCUGUCCAACUAACAUACAGAGAAAUAUAACAACCAUUGAUCAAAGUAUCAAGUUGUCAGCGCUUAAAGAGAAGGCUAUGAAAGUCCAGAGCUGUACAGCUGUAUAACAAACCAAGCCUCUUGGACUAACCGAACUUCCUUCCGAGACAAAACAACAGAAAAUGAGGCAUCCAGGAGAUCAUGAUGGGAACUUGCAAAAACUUUGCCCCAUGCUUCAGUGAGGCUGGGCGAGCAGGUGAGCCUGGGUCUUACACACUUGGGCAAGGCUUAGAUUCCUUGGCAGUUUGCUUGGGCAAAUGUGCCCAACCUUUAGGCAUGUCUCAUUCCUCAGUGAUAUGUGACAUUCACGAGUACCCAUAACAGGAUCUUCUUGCCAUCAUUGUCCAGACAAGAUGGGCAUGAUUUCAUUUUGGGCAUGCAUUCAAUGGCCAGCACAUAAAAGGGGGUAGAUAAGCAUUGGUCGAGUGACUCACACGGGCUCUGUAAAUAUUCGUUCAUUGACUGAGUCAUCAAUGAAAUAGUAUUUAAUCAUAAUUCUCCAGCUCACUACAUUAAAGCCAAAACUUGGUGUCCACGUUUCUUUUUCUUCUUUUUUCAAUGGCUGCACCCAUGGCAUAUGGAAGUUCCCAGGCCAGUGACUGAAUCCAAGCUGCAGCAAUGCUGGAUUCUUUUAACCAAAUGUAGCAGGCCAGGGAUAGAACCCGAGCCUUCGAAGUGACCCAAGCCACUGCACUCAGGUUCCUAAUCCACUGCACCAUAGUAAGAACUCCUCGGUGUCCAGGUUUCUGACUUAUGGAGAAAGAGUCUAUCAUUUUAAAGGAAUAUACAUAAAUAUAAGAACCUUAAAAUUAAUAUUUCUGACAUUAAAAAGUAAUACAGGCUCACUGUAGGAAAAUCUUAAAAUACUAGAAAAUGUAAAUAACCAGAAACAAUCGCUUGUAACCUCAUAAUCCUGCCACGAGAGAUAAUGAGUUAACAUUUUGGUGUAGUUCUUUUCAACCAUUUUCUAUACAUAUACAUAGACAAACUUACACAUUUAAAAUUAUAACUAUGUGGACUAUUUCAUUGUGAAUCUGCCUUUUUCAAUGCUGGGCAUUUUCCUUUAUCAACAACUAUCUCUGAAAAUAUGAUUUGUAAAUAUGUAUACAGCAUUCGUCACAUAGAUGGACUAUGAUUUAUUUAACCAUUUUCUUAUUUUUGUACAUGGAUUUUGUUUCCAACUUUUUCUAUAUUAUAAAUAAUGCUUCAGCCAACAUACUUAUUUAUAAAUCACUUUUGAUAAUAUACUUAUGAUUAUUUUCCUAAGACAGCUAUCUAGAAGCAGAAUUUCGAGAGCAAGGGAUAUAAGUACUUUCACAGCUCUUUUGACACAGUUCUUAAAAAAAAAAAUUUUUUUUUUGUCUUUUGUUUUUUUAAGGCCAUAUCUGUGGCAUAUGGAGGUUUCCAGGCCAGGACUUGAAUCGGAGCUGUACCCUCACAACAGCCACAGCAAUGCAGAAUCCAAGCGGCAUCUGCAACCUACACCACAGCUCACAGCAACGCCAGAUCCUUAAACCACUCAGCGAGGCCAGGGAUCGAACCCAUGUCCUCAUGGAUACUAGUCAGGUUCGUUAACCAUUGAGCCAUGACGGGAACUACUUAAAAUAUUUUUUAAAACUCUUUUUACCACAUGUAAGGACUAAGAUCUAAAGGAAGUUAUGGGGAAAUAUGACAGGUUUUUGGUUUUUAGUUUGCUUGUGUUUGCCUCAUUUCCGUUAGCUCAGGCCAGGGUAGGGAUUUGUCAUCUUUAGAGUUGAGAAUCCCUGCUGCUCAUCAAGUUUCCCCCUGUGUCUCAAGACCACUCGCCCGAGAGGUUCCUCUGUUGCCUAGGGGCUGUGUUGUCUUGCCCACAUUUGGGGGCCUGGGACCUAUGGUUCAAGGUCACCCUGGUGGACCCUCCGCAGAACCAGGAAUUUCUCUGCAGAGCUGAUUUCAAGGCUAGACACACACUAAAACCAAAAGCCAACUGUCUUAAAAAAAGCAAAUAAAAAUACACAAGAAACAUUGAUUCUGUUGAAUUAAAAACUAGAUUAUUUCCUGACUUUUGUAUUUCUUUCUACCCGUUCUUCCCAGCAUUCUGGCAGGUUUCCGGAAUUUCAAGGGGGCAUUUUAGUCAAAGCUGUUGCUUCCAAAAAAAAAAAAAAAAAAAAA